AGAGUUUGAUCCUGGCUCAGAGCGAACGCUGGCGGCAGGCUUAACACAUGCAAGUCGAGCGGGCGUAGCAAUACGUCAGCGGCAGACGGGUGAGUAACGCGUGGGAACGUACCUUUUGGUUCGGAACAACACAGGGAAACUCGUGCUAAUACCGGAUAAGCCCUUACGGGGAAAGAUUUAUCGCCGAAAGAUCGGCCCGCGUCUGAUUAGCUAGUUGGUGUGGUAACGGCGCACCAAGGCGACGAUCAGUAGCUGGUCUGAGAGGAUGAUCAGCCACAUUGGGACUGAGACACGGCCCAAACUCCUACGGGAGGCAGCAGUGGGGAAUAUUGGACAAUGGGCGCAAGCCUGAUCCAGCCAUGCCGCGUGAGUGAUGAAGGCCCUAGGGUUGUAAA
Molecule: ribosomal RNA, 395 nt
Filed under: uncultured bacterium
Lineage: Bacteria
Description: bacterial SSU rRNA
Rfam family: Bacterial small subunit ribosomal RNA
Source: RNAcentral